RNAcentral lists this ribosomal RNA (400 nucleotides) under uncultured bacterium. RNAcentral describes it as "bacterial SSU rRNA". It matches the Rfam family "Bacterial small subunit ribosomal RNA", at positions 356 to 773 of the family's 1533-position model. The record is from RNAcentral.
GGGGAAUAUUGGACAAUGGGCGAAAGCCUGAUCCAGCCAUGCCGCGUGAGUGAUGACGGCCCUAGGGUUGUAAAGCUCUUUCGCAGGUGAAGAUAAUGACGGUAACCUGAGAAGAAGCCCCGGCUAACUUCGUGCCAGCAGCCGCGGUAAUACGAAGGGGGCUAGCGUUGUUCGGAAUUACUGGGCGUAAAGCGCACGUAGGCGGAUACUUUAGUUAGGGGUGAAAUCCCAGGGCUCAACCCUGGAACUGCCUCUAAUACUGGGUAUCUCGAGUCCGAGAGAGGUGAGUGGAAUUCCGAGUGUAGAGGUGAAAUUCGUAGAUAUUCGGAGGAACACCAGUGGCGAAGGCGGCUCACUGGCUCGGGACUGACGCUGAGGUGCGAAAGCGUGGGGAGCAAAC